AGUGAACGCUGGCGGCGUGCCUAACACAUGCAAGUCGAACGGGCUAGUGCUUCGCACUAGUCUCUUUCUGGGGUUGCUACUCUAAGGCUACCUGCUAAAGUUAUUGCUUUAAAGCAGGGGUUUUAGGGGACCUUCCCCAAAAGGGGCCAGUGCGGAGCACUGGCCAGUGGCGAACGGGUGAGUAACACGUGGGUAAUCUGCCCUCGAGUGGGGAAUAAGCUCCCGAAAGGGGGUCUAAUACCGCAUGACGUUUCAUAACGAUGGUUAUGAAACCAAAGCCCAAAAGGCGCUUGAGGAGGAGCCUGCGUCCUAUCAGCUUGUUGGCAGGGUAAUGGCCUACCAAGGCUAUGACGGGUAGCCGGCCUGAGAGGGUGUCCGGCCACACUGGAACUGAGACACGGUCCAGACUCCUACGGGAGGCAGCAGUGGGGAAUUUUGCGCAAUGGGGGAAACCCUGACGCAGCGACGCCGCGUGGAGGAUGACGGCCUCGGUUGUAACGUCUCGUCAGAAGGGACGAACGUACCGACG
This 529-nucleotide ribosomal RNA is filed under the name uncultured bacterium. RNAcentral's name for it is "bacterial SSU rRNA". It matches the Rfam family "Bacterial small subunit ribosomal RNA", at positions 29 to 459 of the family's 1533-position model. The record is from RNAcentral.